CGGGGUGAACCACGAAGCAAUCUCUGCNUCCCACUCCUCCCGCAUUCGNUUGUGGUUGUGGAUUGGUCCGCAGGGUAUUCGCUUGAGCUCUCGGUUGCGGUGCAUUAUAUGCGGGCACGAGGACUCGCGUCCUCUAUCUGCCCGAACAAAAAGCUUUCAUCGCUUAGCUGCGAACGAUUGCGAUCCCCGUUUCGAGCCUUCGGGNCA
RNAcentral lists this unclassified non-coding RNA (207 nucleotides) under Plagiobothrys torreyi var. perplexans. RNAcentral's name for it is "partial external transcribed spacer". The record is from RNAcentral. Lineage: Eukaryota; Viridiplantae; Streptophyta; Magnoliopsida; Boraginales; Boraginaceae.